UUUUUUUCCAUGGGGGGCAAUCUCACCUUUAUUAGAAGAGACGCAUCUAUUAGAUAAAAAGCCAAUGCAUGCUUUUACAGUAUGGAAAUUGGUGAUUUAUAAUAACUUGGCAAAUCGCAAAGUGAAAACAGGCGAUAAAUCAUUCAAGUUUCUGACCUAUCAGCUUUCGACGGUAUGGUAUUGGCUUACCGUGGCAGUGACGGUUAACGGGGGAUUAGGGUUUGAUUCCGGAGAGGGAGCCUGAGAAACGGCUACCACAUCUAAGGAAGGCAGCAGGCGCGCAAAUUACCCAAUUCUAACAGUUUGAGAGAGGUAGUAACAAGAAAUAACAAUACAAGGCAAUUAAAAUGCUUUGUAAUUGGAAUGAUAGAAAUUUAAACCCUUUUUAAAGUAUCAAUUGGAGGGCAAGUCUGGUGCCAGCAGCCGCGGUAAUUCCAGCUCCAAUAGCGUAUAUUAAAAUUGUUGCAGUUAACAAAGCUCGUAGUUGAAGUUCUGUUAAAAGUAACCGGUCUGCUUUUAAUAAAAGUGGUAUCUUGGUGUGUAUUUAGCAAUGAUGUCCUUUGAAGUGUUUUUUACUUUAUUGUAAUAAAGCAUAUUCAGGACUUUUACUUUGAGAAAAUUAGAGUGUUUCUAGCAGGCCGACGCUUUGAAUACUGCAGCAUGGAAUAAUAAAGAUAGGGAUUGGUAGUUUCUACAUUAUUGGUUCGGCAAA
Molecule: ribosomal RNA, 712 nt
Filed under: Hepatozoon canis
Lineage: Eukaryota; Apicomplexa; Hepatozoidae
Description: SSU rRNA
Rfam family: Eukaryotic small subunit ribosomal RNA
Source: RNAcentral